CCACUGCCACCCCUCCCCUCUCCCCUUUUUCUUGUUGUGCUUCGCCUCCCUUCCCCUUUUGCCCCCAACCCAUCCCCUUCCCUUUCACUGCCAACCCUUUCCCUCUAUGUUGUUUGUUCCCUUUCUGCCCCACCAGCCACCCUCACUAGUCAUCGUUUCUCUCCCCUUUUGCCUAAACCCUCUCCUCUGCCACCAUAUUGUCAAGGUAUUAAAUUACUUCAAUUAAGUUGUGCAGCAUUGACAUACAGCAGAAUUUAAUUGAAAAAUUAAAGCGUUUGUUUCAAAGACAGUAAAAUGCAGCAUUUACGACAGAAGAAUAAUUUCUAAUUAUUAUGAAUGAGAUUUGAUAUCUUGGUUAAAGACCAAAUCAAGUUCGAAAGAUAAAUGAAAUAUAGAUACUUGGUGGCAGACCAUAAAAAAAAGACUUCACUUGAAAUCUUAUUUUUUUUAUUAUCUGCCACCAACUAUCUACAUCCCCGUUAUCUUUCGAACUUGAUUUAUCCUUUUAACCAAGAUGCCAAAUUCCAUUCAUAGUAAUCAGAAAUUAUUUUUUUUUUUUUGAGAAAUGUAACAAAUGUAUUCUCAAGAUGUUACUGUCCUAGAUGUUACAUUUUACAUGUCUUUGGUAAAGAGAACUUCACAGUGGGAAGAAGGAGAAAAAAGAGUUGGAGCCGGCCAGUGGUGAGUACAACAGCACUGAUGGAUUCUGAAGAAGUUUGGUGAGUUUUUUUCUUUUGGUUUUAUGGUUCUCAAGAUUACCAAAUUAACUCAAAUUCAAAAAUUGCAACCGGAGUAAAACAACUUUGUAACUUGUUGGAUUCACUUUAAAAUGUUACAUUGUAUUCUCACAAUGUAUUGGUUCAAAUCUUCAAUGCAUUAGUAUUCCUUUAGUUUAAUAAAGGAAUGAAAUCAAUGUUCAAUAUCCCCACCUUCCGAAGAUGUUUUCAAGGGAAUUUUUACAAGUCUUAUUUAAUCCUAAAGAUGCUGAAUAGGAAAAAUUUUACAGCUCGCCUUCUCUGAAUGAUUCUAGAAUUGGUACCAACUUUAAUAAGCUGUCACUUUCUUUUGGAUUAUGUUACUUAUGUUAAUAAAAUUUAACUAAAUUGUGUUUUUGGUACAUUCAAGAUAGUUUGCCAUAUUCCAUAAGGAUUCUCCUAUAAUCCGCAAUUUAAAAUUGUGACAACUUCAAAGUUACUAAGGGCCUGUUUGGAUAGGUUCACAAGUUACUUUUUUUUUUUUUUUAACUUUUAACUUGUGAAAAAGUAUAGUAUUAAUGUCUGGUAUAAUUUUCAAAAUCAAAUUAUAGCUUUCUAAAAAGUUAUUUUAGUGCUUAUGUAGAAGUUAAAAAAAAAUGAGUUCUCUCGUAAUGAAAUUUUUUUUAUCACUCUUCUCUUAAAAUAAGUACUUUUAGAACAAAAAACCAAAUACAAAAUAACUUAUUUAUAAGUUAUUUUUUAAAAGGAGCUUAAUUAAGCUGUUUACCCAAACUGGGCCUAAGAAUGAUGUUGAAUUGAUUAUGGAUUGGAAGAACACUUCUACUAAGCAAACUUGAGAUUCUUUUCAUGCUAGCUCGUGUUCUGCGUCAGGUUUGUUCCAUUUCCAUGAAUCAAGGUCUAGUUUGAAUGAUUGAACUUUUUGUUUCCUUAGCCUUUUGAUUUUGUUACAAGGAUGGUAACUGCAUUCCGGCUUUGGUUGAUCUUACUUCUAUGAGGGAUGCCAUGAAGAAUCUUGGCAGUGAUCCUAAUAAGAUUUGUCCUCUGGUAUGAAUCCAAAUAGGUUGAUGUAGCAAGAUCAGAUGAUGCAUUUCAAGCAAAUAUGGAAUGUGAGUUCCAUAGGAAUAGAGAGAGAUUUGGUUUCCUUAAAUGGGGUUCGUCAGCUCUCGAUAACAUGAUUGUUGUUCCUCCAGGUUCUGGAAUAGUCCAUCAGGUGAAUCUUGAAUACCUUCGACUGGUGGUUUUCGAAGCUGAUGGGAGUAGGCAGCAAUGCUUGGCCAGGUUAAGUAUAUAUAAUAAAGGUGGUUUGUUUUUAGAUAUAAAUCAAGAUAAAAGUUCCAUGUUAUGAACUAUUUGAUGCAGCUUAUAGUUUUAGUAGUAUAAUCUGAUUGUGAAUUACAUCUCUCUGAAUUUUCAAAUGCUUAUCUUAAGUUGGCUUUUUUAAUAUUUGAAUCAAAUGUGAAUUACAUGUCUGUUUUCACAUUUUUCUAGCUUUGAUGAUCAUGAUAAGUGCACUCACAUUUUGGUGUGACAGCCAAUGACUAUGAUCUUUGUAAAACUCUGAAAUUGAUUACAUGUCCAAGUUUACUUGGUUACAGGUUUCAAUGAUCGAAUCAUAUUUGCAAGCGAACAAGUCAAGUUAGUACUUAACAGAAGUUUCGGAUUUCUAUGAUCACGAAAUCUUUGCUGGUUUUCCAGUAUCAUGAUGAAAGAGUAUAUAUAUCUCAAUUGGGAGAUGUUGAGUCCUAUGUUUCCGGGCCUAAGAGCCAUUAGAAGUUGCACUAAUACAUCAAACCCAAGUGUUAUGCUUUGUGCUGGCCUUGUUGCAAAGAAAGCAUGUGAACUAGGACUAGAGGUUAAUUAAUCUCUGGUUGAUUCAAUCUUAUGAUUGUGUUUCACACUUGUUCUUGAUCAUAAGAUAAAGCAAUGGAUUAAAACAAGUCUAGCUCCUGGAUCAAGGGUAGUUACAGAAUAUCCGAGACAAAGUGGCCUGCAAAAUUAUUUGAACCAGCUAGGCUUUCACACUCAACUAUGGUUGCACAACUUGCAUUGGGAAUUUCGAAUAAGGGUUGACAUUGAUUUUAGUAAAGAGCCAAUUGAAAAUGGAAAGAAUGUGUACUUAAAAGAUAUCUGGCGGAGAACUAAAGAGGUCUGAGAUCCGAGGCUCUUCAAACUUAUGUGCUUCCUGAAAUGUUCAAGAGAAUGUAUGAGUCUAUUUCAAAAGGGAGUCUAAUGUGGGAUCAGCUUUCAAUUCGGGCUUCUCCUCUCUAUUCAUGGAAUCCAAACUCAACCUACAUGCAUGAGCCUCCUUAGUUCAAGAAUAUGACAAUUCUACUAUGCAUAUACUCUUUAUAGUAGGCAUCAUUUUAAUAUUCGUAUUUUCUUAACCAUUAAUACAUAUUAUCUUUAUCUUGUUAAACAAUAAUUUAAAUGUAUAAUUAAUUAAUAAUAAUUGUAUUUUUAUAGGAGUGACAUGAGAAUGUGAUAUGUUAAUUUUUGAAA
Arachis stenosperma is the source of this 3215-nucleotide RNA transcript. It is a transcript of the gene named aconitate hydratase 1-like, with no coding region annotated. Lineage: Eukaryota; Viridiplantae; Streptophyta; Magnoliopsida; Fabales; Fabaceae. The record is from RefSeq and is a predicted model, not a curated record. The transcript has 8 exons.